UACAGAGGGUGCGAGCGUUAAUCGGAAUUACUGGGCGUAAAGCGCGCGUAGGCGGCUUUGCAAGUCGGGUGUGAAAUCCCCAGGCUUAACCUGGGAACUGCAUUCGAGACUGCGUUGCUAGAGUAUGGGAGAGGGAAGUGUAAUUUCCGGUGUAGCGGUGAAAUGCGUAGAUAUCGGAAGGAACAUCAGUGGCGAAAGCGACUUCCUGGACCAAUACUGACGCUCAUGUGCGAAAGUUUGGGGAGCAAACAGG
Molecule: ribosomal RNA, 253 nt
Filed under: uncultured bacterium
Lineage: Bacteria
Description: partial 16S ribosomal RNA
Rfam family: Bacterial small subunit ribosomal RNA
Source: RNAcentral